CCUACGGGAGGCUGCAGUGGGGGAUAUUGCACAAUGGGGGAAACCCUGAUGCAGCGACGCCGCGUGGGCGAAGACGUAUUUCGGUAUGUUAAGCCCUAUCAGCAGGGAAGUAGAAAUGACGGUACCUGAGUAAGAAGCACCGGCUAAAUACGUGCCAGCAGCCGCGGUAAUACGGAUGGUGCAAGCGUUAUCCGGAUUUACUGGGUGUAACGGGAGCGCAGGCGGCACGGCAAGCCUGAUGUGAAAGCCCGCGGCUCAACCGCGGGACUGCAGUUGGAACUACCGGGCUGGAGUGCCGGUGGGGGAGGCGGAAUGCCUAGUGUAGCGGUGAAAUGCGUAGAUAUUAGGAGGAACACCAGUGGCGAAGGCGGCCUACUGGACGGUGACUGACGCUGAGGCUCGAAAGCGUGGGGAGCAAACAGGAUUAGAUACCCGUGUAGUC
This 442-nucleotide ribosomal RNA is filed under the name uncultured bacterium. RNAcentral's name for it is "partial 16S ribosomal RNA". It matches the Rfam family "Bacterial small subunit ribosomal RNA", at positions 338 to 795 of the family's 1533-position model. The record is from RNAcentral.